This is a long non-coding RNA of Cydia splendana, 946 nucleotides long. RefSeq lists it as uncharacterized. The record is from RefSeq and is a predicted model, not a curated record. The transcript is spliced from 3 exons. NCBI's taxonomy places the organism in Eukaryota, Metazoa, Arthropoda, Insecta, Lepidoptera, Tortricidae.
UUUUAGGUUUUCGCUAGCGAGUAACGUUUGUAGCUGUUGCCUAUAGAAAUUGGUACCAUGAGUCACAUUUUUGACAUACGCUAUCGAGCAAUACGUUAUCGACUGUAGUAAUCUAUUUCACUGGCAUAUUGGAGCGUGAAAACUUAUUAGAAUUCGUGUUAUAGUAUAUUUUCUUAUCAUUAUUUAUGUAAAUAAUGUCAGCAAGGCAUUAUUUGGCAUGGGAUAUGUUAGCGAAAGCUGCAUAUGAAGACGAACGACGUGAACAAGGAAAAUAUCAAGCCGAUAUGAGAAAAAUAUUAAGAAACCCACUUCAACACAUAAGUGAGAAUAAUUUUAUUAAAGAAUAUAGGCUCAGCAAGGAAGCUUUUGAGGAUUUGUGUGAUUUGUUAAUAAAUCAUGCGGAUUUGAAAUCCACUCAAAGAGUGUCAGUGGAAUCAAAGUUAAGUAUAAAUUCUAUAAAAGUGUUAAGUACUUAUACAUUUUAUUUGACAUUUAUGAGUGUUAUUUUGUAAUUAACCAACAAACUAACUCUUGCAGGUUUUAUGUGCAUUACUAUUUUAUGCACAAGGUAGUUACCAACGCAUGACUGGCAAGGCACACCAUUUUUCGCAGGAAGCAAUGAGUGUUUACAUUGAAGAGGUAACAGCCGCGUUGAACCACCCCAAUAUUCUAAAAAUGUUUAUACAUUUUCCAACCACACGCGAAGAAAGAGAUGACAUUAGACAAAGUUUUUUCAAUAAAUAUGGAAUCCCAGGGGUGAUAGGAAGCAUUGACUGCAGCCACUUCAAGAUAUUUACACCCAAAAAGGAAGAAGAACACUUAUAUUUCUGUAGAAAGCAUUAUCACUCAAUGAAUGUACAAAUGAUAUGUGAUCACGAUUGUAAAAUUUUAUCCAUUAAUGCUAAGUUUGGAGGUGCAGCCCAUGAUUCUUUCAUAUGGGAAAAUA